Non-coding RNA from Pelobates cultripes (western spadefoot toad), 550 nucleotides. NCBI's taxonomy places the organism in Eukaryota, Metazoa, Chordata, Amphibia, Anura, Pelobatidae. The record is from the annotation of a GenBank genome assembly.
UAGUUUAUACUAAGUCACCCAUAGGUUAAGGAGGCGGUGGAGGAGGAGGAUGAGGUAGCCAACACUGUUAUAUAUAUAUAUUUUUUAAAUUUUAAAAAAAAAAAUUUUUAUUGGGGUAGCCCCCAAAAUAUUGGGACAUAUAAAAAAAGACAACUCUGGUCCGCAGAGUAGCUGUUGACAUUAUAGUUGCGCAAGCACUUUGUUGACUAUAGAGAACCUCGGGCAAAUCGCACAUCCCCGUGGCGGUGACUUUGCACGCGGAUGUGCAAUGCCAGUUUCUGCGCCUACCAUGGUGACCACGGGUAACAGGGAAUCAAGGUUCCAUUCCAUACAGGGACCCUGAGAAAUGGCUACCACAUGCAAGGAAGGCAGCAGGCGCGCAAGUCUCACUCCCGACGUGGGAAGGUAGUGACGACAAAUAACAAUACAGGACUCUUUAGAGGCCCUGCAAUUGUAAUGAGUCCACUUGAAAUCCUUUAACUCUGAUCAAUUGGAGAGAAGUCUGGUGCAGAACCAUUGACCCGUGCGUGCUGCAGCUGAAACUCCAUUA